UUUUUUUUUUUUUUCCUCGCACAUUGCAGAGUCUGAUAUACAGUAGACAUCAGUAAACAUUUGUUGAUUAAGUCAAUGAAUGAAUGAAUGAUUCCUAAGAGCAGAAAAAAGAAAUGAGAAAAUAAGCUUCUCUUCUUCUAAAGGAAAUAGGGAAACAGACACUAGAAUGUGAGAACUAUGCUCAGCUCUGUUUUGGCCUUGAAAGUAAGGUGGUUUGAAUUUAGUUGAAGACGUGUUCAGAUGCGGUAUAACCAAGAAGUGUGGUUUGGGCUGAGCUGAUCUCUCAGCUGGAAAAAGCAAACAAACAAAAAAACAGCAGUCAAGUUUGAACCAGAGACUAAUCUGUGGAUUUUCUUCUCCUCUAGUUCAAAGUCGUGGUCAUAGAUUUUGAGGCCUUAGAGGAACAUCACACACCACUUUCCUAUGACAAGAUUAACUCUCAAAUAAACAUUAAUUCCAAGGGCUCCUUUCAGACCUGGAAUUAGCCUUCCUGUCUUAAGUAUUUUGAAGCCUCAUCCCUUGGACCAAGCUGAAUCUCCCAGGAUGCAGUCCUGAUAUAUCAGAUGCUUUAUUGGGAACACAAGCAUUCAACACUCAGACUGAGCUUUAACAAACAGAUAACAGGAAGGCAUCAGGGGUUGUUUGGUUUGUUAGUUGAUGUUAAUGGAAAAUUCAUGUGGCAACUGUAUCAAUUACAAUAGCUGGCAUAGUUAGCAGUAGAAUAUCCAACUAAAACUCUUCAGCAAUAAAAGAAAUGUUAGCUAACAUCACUGAAAAAUCUAGUGAUAUAGUGAAACUUGAUUGAGGAGCUCAAGGAUAUCAGAAGGGAUUCCACUUUUUCAGUCUUCUUUGUCUUACACAGCGUUGGUUUCUGCGAAGAAACUGGUUAGCUAAUUACCAAAGUUUUUAGCUCUUUCUCCUGAUAAUGCAACUGCACUGUAUGACUUCCUAGCCUUCCUUACAGUUAGGUUUGGUCAUGUGCCUGAGUUCUGCUCAAGAAAAAGUGGGAAAAAUAUAAUAGCUUGUAGAGGAAAAAGCAUAGGCUACACAUGCAAGAAGUCAUGAACCAGUACUACAGAUGUCUUGACCUCACUUGCCUCAAACACAUACAGGUUCCAAAAUUUCAUGAACAGUAUGAAAUCUGUACAAUCCCUAAGAAAGGACCAUUCCCAGACUAACUUCAGCUGUCACCAUAAAAAGUCAUGGAGGAUAAUUAAUAGGGAAGUACCUCCCAGAGGGAGAAGUUUGGGUCUAUAGAAAACAAAAUACAAAAAAAUUCUUUGCAGAAAAAUUUCUUUGCAGAAUAUAAGUCUGAUUAUAUCAGGGGAUUGGGGAGAGGGGCCUCCAUUUGUUAGGGAAGUGGGGCCCCCUCGUGCCUGCCUGACAGAACAUUAUUGCUCUGGGCCACUGACUGCAGUACAGUGGCCACUCUUUUCUUUGUCUGAAUGGAAGUUUGAGUUUUAGCUGCCCCAUCCGGUGCUCCAAACUUUUGACUGAGUAUGCAUGGGAGCAAAUAACUUAUUUUUUGUUUGUUUGUUUCAUAUGCUGCAAGAUAAUUAGAGGUGAUAUUCAGACUCGAUGGAAAAGAGAGAGUAUUAUCCGAAGAUCAUAAAGACCUAGAUGCUGUCUUCCUUGAUACAGAGUAAGUGUUGACUAUUAUUUCCCACUAGGCCUGUCAGUCAGAUGUGGCCAUAUGAUCAAUGUCUGGCCAGAGAGAUGUUACAGACAUGAGCAACCCACUCUCAGACAUGACUCAUAAAAAUUACUUAUAUGUGGUCAUUCAUGCUCUUUCUCUUUCCAUGGCUUGAUGGAAAAGAAAACAAAGACCUUGCAAGCUUUGUGCUGAGAAUGGAAGACCCAUGAGUUGUAAGGAGAUGGGCACUUCCACUUCUAACUGGGAUGAUGUUAAGAGACUAGAUUUACCCUCCUUCCUGAAACAAUAAAUUGAAGGGGAAAAAAAACUGAAACAGUGGUUUUCAAGGCAUCGGUCAUAGACAUCAGGCAAUGAAGAACAGGGAUCAUUGAGAAACUGUGAACAAGACAGGCUCCUACAACCAUCGAGAGAGGGGUUCUGAGAUAUGAGUCAGGGAUUGAGACUUCAGGCAGGGCCCAAUACACUAUCUAAAUUAAAGAGUCAGAGAUGGGAGUCUGGGGGCGCCAAGGCAGCUAAAGUUCACAAGAUAAAGUACUGUGAAGGACAGAACUGCACAAAGAGGGAGAACUUGGGAGAUAUGCAGAGGGCACCCCUUGAAUGUUCAGCCAAGUACUGAUCAGCAAGUAGGAGGAAACUAUCUGGGCCUGGAAAAAAGAAUGUUCUAGAAGAAGCGGCACCUGAGGCUCACACAAGGCUGAAAUUAGUGUCUCCUCUCACCACCUAGGCUGGAAAACCUCAUAAUUCAUGGGGUAUUAGGUACACGUUUCAGAAGGGUCUUGUCUAAGCAGUGGACCUAAACUAGCCCUAAACUAAAUGUUCUUCCUAACAAAUAUUAAAAGUAAAUCCUGAAAGGAUAAACUGUUUCUAACUAACAUAAGAGUAUCCCAGAAUAAAACUCAACAGUGUUUACAAGAACACAAACCCAGCACUUGACAAAGUAAAAUCUACAAUGUCUGACAUCCAAUGAAAAACUGCCAGGCAUGCAAAGAAGCAGAAAAACACUAUUCGCAUGAAGAGAACAAUCAAUAAAUUGAAGAUCAACCCCAGAAUGCAGAUAAUAGAAUUAACAGAUAAAGGCAUUAAAAUGAUGAUUGUACUGAUUAUAUUCAGGAAGUUAUUAAAAAGACAAUAAAACCAGUUAUAAGAUAAAUAAUGUCUGGGGAUAUAGCAUAUAGCAUGAUGACUGUAGUUAACAAUAUUAUAUCAUAUAUUUGAAAAUUGCCGAGAGUAGAUCUUAAAAGCUACUAUCACAAGGAAAAACGAUGUGUAACUAUGUGAAGUGAUAGAUGUUAACUAAACUUCCUGUGGUAAGCAUUUCACAAUAUCAAAUCAUUAUGUUGUACAUCUUGAUCUGAUUUAAUGUGUAUGGGUGUUUUGGGGUUUUGUUUUGUUUUGUUUUGUUUUUUGUUUUUGUUUUUUUUGCUUUUUAGGGCUGCACCACGGCAUAUGGAAGUUCCAGGCUAGGGGCUGAGUCAGAGCUACAAUUGCCGACCUUCCACAGCCACAGCAAUGCUGGAUCACCACAAUGCUGGAUCGUUAACCCACUGAGGAAGGCCAGAGAUUGAACUCACAUCCCCAUAGACACUAGUCGAAUUGAUUUCUGCUGCACCACAAUGGGGAACUCCCUUAAUGUGUAUGUUAAUUAUAUCUCAAUAAAACUGGGAGGAAGGAUAAAAAGAUCUGAGCUUCUAGAGAUGAAAAGUACAAUUACUUAAAUGAAAACAAAAAACAAAAAACACUACAUGAUAUUAACAACCAACUUCAGGAGAAUAGAUUGGUGAAUUUGAGGCCAUAGCAAUAGAAACUAACUUAAAUAAAACACAUAAACAAAAAAGAAUUUCAAAAAAAAUUAAUGGGGAGUUCCUGCCAUGGCUCAGUGGUAACAAAACCAACUGGAUCCAUGAGGACCUGGAAUCCAUCCCUGGCCUCGCUCCCUGGUGGGUUGAGGAUUCUGUGUUGCCGGGAGCUGUGGUGUGGGUUGCAGACUCUGCUCAGGGAUAUGGAUAUUGUUAUAGCUCCGAUUCGACCCCUAGUGUGGGAACUUCCAUAUGCCACACAUGCAGCCCCCCCAAAAAAAAUAAUAAUAAUAAUUAAUUGGAAUGUAAGACAGAAAAUAGCUUUGGAAAACAGUUUUGACAGUUUUUCUUAAAACACCAAGCAUAUGAUUCAGCUACUCUAUUUAAUGAGGAAUGAAAGCAUAUGUCCAUCAAAGAUUUGUAGUGAAUGUACACAUAUGCUUAUAACAAUCCCAAAGCCCAUCAACCAUCAAGUAGAUACAACUGUGGUACAUAUCCCUAUAAAAUUAUAGAAAAUACCAAAAAAUGCAUAGCAACCAAAAUGUAAUAGUGGUUGUCUGAAGAGAGGAUGGGAGAAUGAGAAGGGCUUAGAGGGAAGAAUUACAAAGGCGCUCAAGGAAUCUUUUAGGGGUAAUGGAUAUGUUAAUUUUCUUGAUUGUGAUGAUAGCUUCACACGUGUACACAUAUUCAAAACUAAAUACAUGCAGUCAUAUACCUCCACAAAGCUGUUUUUAAAAAUGUAAGAAGACUAUAUCCCUGAAAGUAAGGAAAGCAGUAACAAAUUUAGACUUGACGUGAGUUAGGAACAAACUUGUAUUCUAUUUGAGCCAUUUCUCUGUGUGUGUUAUAUCCUAACUAAUACAGCUUCCUAUUGGGGCUGGUCCCAAAAUCUCAUGGUCCUAUGAUGGCAACCUUCCUUCAUUCACUAAGGUUACAUUGCUUUCUUUCUAUUCAUGUCCAAUGGGACAGAGUAUCUUUUUUUGGUAGCUUCCUUAAAAGAAAGAGAAUUUUAUUUCCCAAAGCCUCCAUUAAUCCUUAUUUUUAUUAGUCUAAAUUAAUUCAUGUUACAAUAUCUAAGUGUCAUGUUACAAUAUGACAGCCAAUGACAUCACAGACAAUUGUGUAUGUUGUGCUGAGCAUGGGCACUGAACCAAGGGGAAAAUGGGGGCUCAAAACAGGCAUGUGCCUGUUAACCAACCUGUGCAAUCUGGUGCCGGGCUGCAUCCACCUAAAGAAAGAGCUGCUUUUCUCUCAUUUGCACAAAGCUUCGAUGCAUCCUUGUGUAAAGCCUGAUCCUGGUGGUGCAGUGGAGAGACUCUAGUUGGAAAAAGGAAGAGAACUGAAUGCUGGCUGUUGACAAGGAAAAACAGAAAAUGACUACAACAACAACCUUGGUGAAUGAUGGCUGGUAUGGCUAUCAUCAUUUGUUAUAUUUCAAUAAACCUUUUCAGAUAUCCUAAAUGAAAGGAAUAUCACUUACCUUAAAUCCUAUACAAUUUUAUCUUAUAAAACUCUCUUGGAGUAAUUAUGACUUUCUUUAAUUAUAAUUAAUUGCAUGCAUGCAAUAAGUUGGGAUGCAGCACAAAGAGAGUCAAAGAUUAGAUGACUGUGUGUCAACACUCUUGCAGGACCAAAUGGAGACAGGGAAUUCUUUUGGCCCACAUGGGAAAAGCUGGUAUAAGGAGAAAAACCUCCAGCAAUCUCUAUAUUUUGAGUAGAAAGUAUGUAGGUGGCAUAUGCAACUAUGCCAUCUUUCCUUUUCUCAAGACAAGAAAUAAAGUGAUUUCUUCAUCAUGCAGUGUGUUAUAUCCAGCAAUGACCAAGAGAAAAAAAAAGGUCUCAAUGGAUAUAGUACCCUUGCAGUUUUCCUAGACACUUCCGAGAUGCAGCAGUGAAGUCUCAUUAAAUCUGGGAGCCCAAACACAGGAGAAAAGAGAUCAUCUAACGAACCAAAUUAAAAAUUCUGUGCCCUAGUUUGCUUUUGGAUUUAUCGUCAGUUUGGUGCUAUGACAGCUGAAAGUUGUCAUAGCAUCAUGUUAAUAGGUCAUGUUGAACUCACACUGAUCUGUGCCAGAACAGUCCGUUCAAGUUGCAAGCAAAUAUAUUGGGCAGGUCAUUUGUUCUACAUACCAGCUUAUAUGGGUUCAUUGGCAGUGUGUAUACCAGAAAAUAUGAAAUGAAGGAAUUUUUUUAAUGGGCCUUUAAAUUUCCCAGGAUUGUAUUUUAUACUGCAACUGUAAUUUAAUUGGCGCACUAAAAUGAUGUUUUGGUAGUUACAAAAAUGCUUCUAUUAAAAAUAAAAUUAAGGAGUUCCCGUCAUGGCUCAGUGGUCAACGAAUCCGACUAGGUACCAUGAGGUU
RNAcentral lists this long non-coding RNA (5810 nucleotides) under Sus scrofa (pig). Its description in RNAcentral is "lncRNA (ENSSSCG00015062576.1)". Lineage: Eukaryota; Metazoa; Chordata; Mammalia; Artiodactyla; Suidae. The record is from RNAcentral.